UUCGAUAAUGGAGAACCGCGAAUGGCUCAUUACAACAGCCAUAGUUUAUUAGAUCUUACUCUACUUGGAUACCUGUGGUAACCUAAGAGCUAAUACAUGCAAUCAAGUCCUGACCUUGCGGGAAGGACGCAUUUAUUAGAACAAAGCCAAUCGGGCUUGCCCGUAGUUUGGUGAAUCUGAAUAACUAUGCUGAUCGCACAGUCCUCGCACUGGCGACUCAUCUUUCAAAUGUCUGGCUUAUCAACUUUCGACGGUAGUAUACACGGCUACCGUGGUGUUGACGGGUGACGGAGAAUUAGGGUUCGACUCCGGAGAGGGAGCCUGAGAAACGGCUACCACAUCCAAGGAAGGCAGCAGGCACGCAAAUUACCCACUCUCGGCACGGGGAGGUAGUGACGAAAAAUAACGAGACGGUUCUCUAAGAGGCCCGUCAUCGAAAUGGGUACAGCUUAAAUCCUUUAACGAGGAUCUAUUGGAGGGCAAGUCUGGUGCCAGCAGCCGCGGUAAUUCCAGCUCCAAAAGCGUAUAUUAAAGUUGUUGCGGUUAAAAAGCUCGUAGUUGGAUCUACGCCUUAGGUUGACGGUCCCCCAAAAGGGUGGUACUGUCCUACCUGGGCUAUUUUUCUGGUUUUCCCUUGGUGCUCUUUACCGAGUGCUUUGGGUGACUGGAACGUUUACUUUGAAAAAAUUAGAGUGCUCAAAGCAGGCGAUCUGCCUGGAUAGUGGUGCAUGGAAUAAUAGAAUAGGACUUCGGUUCUAUUUUGUUGGUUUCAAGAAUCGAGGUAAUGAUUAAGAGGGACAGACGGGGGCAUUCGUAUUGCGACGUUAGAGGUGAAAUUCUUGGAUCGUCGCAAGACGCACAACUGCGAAAGCAUUGCCAAGAAUGUUCAUAAUC
RNAcentral lists this ribosomal RNA (894 nucleotides) under Mesacanthion sp. Ugent CeMoFe21X6L14. Its description in RNAcentral is "SSU rRNA". It matches the Rfam family "Eukaryotic small subunit ribosomal RNA", at positions 72 to 978 of the family's 1831-position model. The record is from RNAcentral. Lineage: Eukaryota; Metazoa; Nematoda; Enoplea; Enoplida; Thoracostomopsidae.